This 702-nucleotide ribosomal RNA is filed under the name Cryobacterium sp. N4_95_5. Its description in RNAcentral is "bacterial SSU rRNA". It matches the Rfam family "Bacterial small subunit ribosomal RNA", at positions 46 to 750 of the family's 1533-position model. Lineage: Bacteria; Bacillati; Actinomycetota; Actinomycetes; Micrococcales; Microbacteriaceae. The record is from RNAcentral.
GUCUUACCAUGCAGUCGAACGGUGAAGAGGAGCUUGCUCCUUGGAUCAGUGGCGAACGGGUGAGUAACACGUGAGCAAUCUGCCCUUGACUCUGGGAUAACUGCGGGAAACUGUAGCUAAUACCGGAUAUUACCUUGGAAGGCAUCUUCUGGGGUGGAAAGAAUUUUGGUCAAGGAUGAGCUCGCGGCCUAUCAGCUAGUUGGUGAGGUAAUGGCUCACCAAGGCGACGACGGGUAGCCGGCCUGAGAGGGUGACCGGCCACACUGGGACUGAGACACGGCCCAGACUCCUACGGGAGGCAGCAGUGGGGAAUAUUGCACAAUGGGCGCAAGCCUGAUGCAGCAACGCCGCGUGAGGGACGACGGCCUUCGGGUUGUAAACCUCUUUUAGUAGGGAAGAAGCGACUGGGUUUUCCUGGGAGUGACGGUACCUGCAGAAAAAGCACCGGCUAACUACGUGCCAGCAGCCGCGGUAAUACGUAGGGUGCAAGCGUUGUCCGGAAUUAUUGGGCGUAAAGAGCUCGUAGGCGGUUUGUCGCGUCUGCUGUGAAAACCCGAGGCUCAACCUCGGGCCUGCAGUGGGUACGGGCAGACUAGAGUGCGGUAGGGGAGAUUGGAAUUCCUGGUGUAGCGGUGGAAUGCGCAGAUAUCAGGAGGAACACCAAUGGCGAAGGCAGAUCUCUGGGCCGUAACUGACGCUGAG